This 460-nucleotide ribosomal RNA is filed under the name uncultured bacterium. RNAcentral describes it as "partial 16S ribosomal RNA". It matches the Rfam family "Bacterial small subunit ribosomal RNA", at positions 338 to 795 of the family's 1533-position model. The record is from RNAcentral.
CCUACGGGAGGCAGCAGUGAGGAAUAUUGGUCAAUGGACGAGAGUCUGACCCAGCCAAGUAGCGUGAAGGAUGACUGCCCUAUGGGUUGUACACUUCUUUUAUAUGGGAAUAAAACGUUCCACGUGUGGGAUUUUGUAUGUACCCUAUGAAUAAGGAUCGGCGAACUCCGGGCCAGCAGCAGCGGUAAUACGGAGGAUCCGAGCGUUGUCCGGAUUUAUUGGGUUUAAAGGGAGAGUAGGUGGAUGGUUAAGGCAAUUGUGAAAGUUUGCGGCGCAACCGUAAAAUUGCAGUUGAAACUGGCAGUCUUGAGUACAGUAGAGGUGGGCGGAAUGCGUGGUGUAGCGGUGAAAUGCUUAGAUAUCACGAAGAACUCCGAUUGCGAAGGCAGUUCACUGGACUGCAACUGACACUGAGGCUCGAAAGUGUGGGUAUCAAACAGGAUUAGAUACCCUGGUAGUC